RNAcentral lists this ribosomal RNA (497 nucleotides) under uncultured bacterium. RNAcentral's name for it is "partial 16S ribosomal RNA". It matches the Rfam family "Bacterial small subunit ribosomal RNA", at positions 28 to 507 of the family's 1533-position model. The record is from RNAcentral.
GACGAACGCUGGCGGCGUGCCUAAUACAUGCAAGUUGAGCGCUGAAGGUUGGUACUUGUACCGACUGGAUGAGCAGCGGACGGGUGAGUAACGCGUGGGGAAUCUGCCUUUGAGCGGGGGACAACAUUUGGAAACGAAUGCUAAUACCGCAUAAAAACUUUAAACACAAGUUUUAAGUUUGAAAGAUGCAAUUGCAUCACUCAAAGAUGAUCCCGCGUUGUAUUAGCUAGUUGGUGAGGUAAAGGCUCACCAAGGCGAUGAUACAUAGCCGACCUGAGAGGGUGAUCGGCCACAUUGGGACUGAGACACGGCCCAAACCCCUACGGGAGGCAGCAGUAGGGAAUCUUCGGCAAUGGACGAAAGUCUGACCGAGCAACGCCGCGUGAGUGAAGAAGGUUGUCGGAUCGUAAAACUCUGUUGGUAGAGAAGAACGUUGGUGAGAGUGGAAAGCUCAUCAAGUGACGGUAACUACCCAGAAAGGGACGGCUAACUACGUG